AUGCCAUGCCAUGAUCACAUUGCACCACAUAUGCUUUGUUUUGGAUGUUGUCAAUAUUCUCCAUGUGAUGUUGCUACUCCUCCUCAUGAGGAGACCCCCAUAGUUUCCUCAUACAUAUUAGGAGAUUUUGAUCCAUCCUAUCAUUUGCAUGAUUUCCAUGAUUGCUUGCACCAUAUGCAUUCCAUGAAUAACAAUGCUCUAAAUAUUGGUCGUGAUGCAUUACACAACUUGAGUCUCCAUUAUGCUAUACAUAAUAACAAACCUCUCAUGAUGGAUGACAUGUUUCUAUAUCACGCAUCUCAUUUGUUUGAGCAUUGGCUAUUUUGUGCUCACUAA
RNAcentral lists this ribosomal RNA (336 nucleotides) under Triticum aestivum (bread wheat). Its description in RNAcentral is "partial small subunit ribosomal RNA". Lineage: Eukaryota; Viridiplantae; Streptophyta; Magnoliopsida; Poales; Poaceae. The record is from RNAcentral.